This is a long non-coding RNA of Oncorhynchus tshawytscha (Chinook salmon), 3029 nucleotides long. The record is from Ensembl. Lineage: Eukaryota; Metazoa; Chordata; Actinopteri; Salmoniformes; Salmonidae.
GUUGAAAUCAGGUGCAUUUGAAAAUACUUAUUUUUUCGAUCAUUGAUUCCAUGGCCAAAUUUCAACUGAUAUACAUUCUCAAUUAUAAUAAGUAAGCAUUAUAUUACAGUUAUCACAAGACUUGUCUGAAGGUCCCAUGGUACCAGUUGAAAGAAACGAACGGAGGUAUGGAGACUGUUUAGUGACAAGAAUAAGGGGUUAAAUACAUGUAAAAAAUCCUGAUCUUUCAUAAAUCUCUCAGAUAUUGGACAGACACUUCAGAACAAACUUCCUUUUGAUCUGUUGUUCCGUGUAGUGAAUCUAUUAUUCGAUGCAUUUGAAUAUGCUAAUAGCAGUAAGGUCCCCCAAAAAAUUCAUCCAAUCAUAUUUUUCUUCUGUUUUUUUUUUUAUUCUUCAAGGGGUCUUAAAAUUCAAAAAUCAAACAGCCAAAUGAUCCUUAGUAGAACCCCCACCCUCUGGCUUAGACAGGUUUUAAUAGGAAAGAGGAACCAAUUGUAGAUCGCAACAAAAUAUUUAUCUAUCACAUGCAGUAAGUUCCUCUGGAUAAGAGCGUCUGCUGAAUGACCAAAAUGUAAAUGUAAAAACAAAAACACUUGCAAAGCAUUCUGGAUAUUAUUCUAAUGAGCUCCGCCCCCAAACAAGUACAAAUUUGGCCGGUGCGGACCAGAUCCAAAUCUGAACGAAUCAUAGACGUCUAGGCUGUUUCACAAGUUUGAACAUCACAGUACAGUACGGCACAGUUUAGCACAGUAGAGUACGGUAGUUUUAUUCAGUCGAGUACAAUACAGUAGAGUUGAAUUAGAGUAGAGUACAGUAAUUCAGUACAUUAGAGUACACUACAGUAAAGUAUAGUUUAAUUCAGUACAAUACAUGUUAAUUCAGUAGAGUACAGUACAGUAUAGUUUAAUUCAGUAGAGUACAUGUUAAUUCAGUACAGUACAGUAUAGUUUAAUUCAGUAGAGUACAAUAGAGUACACUAUACUUUACUGUACUAAGUUACUGUACACUGCUGUCCAAACCUGUGAAACAUAGAUGUCUAUGAUUGGUUCAGAUUUGGUCCGGACCAAAAUUCAACAUCCCUGGGGGAUGAAAUUUAAAAAAUAUUUUUGAAAGACUGAGGACCGAAAAGAGAUGUCCAGAAGACAUCAAAACGCUUACUGGGAUGCUGUUUUAAGGGCAGUGGGGAUACAGGCCUAACAGUCAUAUUAUGCCAAUAAGUCCCUCCAAUGAUCUACUCUACUUAACCUAUACAGGUGCUCAUUCUCACAUAACCUACAGCAUACACAUUCACUAAGUUUAAUUCUCAUUGAUGGCAUGGCAGUAUUGAUCAAUCCAGAUCGGAGAUCUACCUGUAUCCCCCAUAUAAAAAGGUACUGUCCAUCUUGACUGUCUCCCAAACAAAAUCAACAAUAACCACAAACAUUCAUCCCACCACUCAAAAAUCACAAACCACCACUCCCCUUCCAGUAUCCUGAAGAAUACGUUUCCAUCCCCUACUUUCUCAUUUUAAUCAAGGACCCUUACCAUAAACCUGGUUGGUAGUUGGUAUCUUCUACCCAACCCUACCCUUUAAACCUAAACCAGGAUCAUAUCCUCUACCCAACCCUUCCCCUUGAACCAGGAUCAUAUCCUCUAUCCAACCCUUCCCCUUGAACCAGGAUCAUAUCCUCUACCCAACCCUUCCCCUUGAACCAGGUUAAUAUCCUCUAUCCAACCCUUCCCUUUAAACCAGGAUCAUAUCCUCUAUCCAACCCUUCCCUUUAAACCAGGUUAAUAUCCUCUAUCCAACCCUUCCCUUUAAACCAGGAUCAUAUCCUCUAUCCAACCCUUCCCUUUAAACCAGGUUAAUAUCCUCUAUCCAACCCUUCCCUUUAAACCAGGUUAAUAUCCUCUAUCCAACCCUUUAUUUUAUUUUAUAUUUUUUUUACUUUUACUUCUUUACAUUUUUUAAUCCAUUAAAGUUUGUUUUAAUCAAAUCAAAUCAAGUCGAAGUAUAAAAAUGAGAACUCCAUCACCCUUGUACCGUUACCUUGCCAAAACCUUCACCAUACAUGCAGAAGAGGGUUAGAAGAGGAAGUCCUGAGGUGUCCCUGCCAGUCCCAGAGCUCUCAACUGUCUCCCUACUCCAUUAGUCUCUGUCAUCAAACACGUUUAGAUUGUUGUUUUUUGUUGACAUUUUGACAGUAUAUCAAUAUGUCCCCUCUAAAAGAUACAAAGGACAAGGUCAAAGGACAUACGGGGUUGCCCGAGUCCCUGAAACCGCCAACGUCUCACCUCUCUCCGGAACGCUGCGGUCGCACACCUAAAACCAAUCCCGGAGACAGUCUGGACAGCCUAUGCUACUGCUCUGGUGUUGCAUCGCUAUUUCGGUAUAUAUUAUAUCUAUUUAUAACAAGGCACGGUAUCAUUCGACAAUUUUAUAUCAUGGCUACAGACGGAGUUGACAACCACCACUAACGUUAGGCAAAUCAAGUCAAUAAGCUACACAGCGGACGUUUAUAAAAGGUACCCACGUGUAUGGUCGCUGUCUUCCUCUGGCGGUGCGCUACAACAUGCCACAAAGAUAAUAUAUAGGUGCUCCAACACGCACUGGAAAAUUAUAUCAACAUCUUUGUUUCAAUCCUUCUUGGUUAAUAGAAAGUUGGCAAAGGUAGACAGUAACACUGAAGCUGUCCCGAAAGGGUCCGUGUCUGUCUGAGUAUGCGAGUGGAGUACGGAUGUGUAAACGGAGCCGACUCCGAGGAUGUCACGACUCGUGGAUGUUUCCUCUUGUUGACUUGAGUUCGCAGCGCCAGCUGCAACUGUAUCUAGUCGAGUCCGCGUAACACAAGCGUCUGCAAGUGUCUGUGGAAUGUGUGUAGACUAGAGUGUGUGUGUUUGUGCGCGCACCGUAGUAUUUCCACCGGUCUGUCUGUGCUGAGAGUGCAUGGAGAAACUGCUAAACGAGAGACUGUCCCACGCUAUGAGUUCUGGAGCUGUGCCAGUGCCAAGAUGAGUUAGUAGACAACCGGUUUUAAAUCUGCAGUCUG